Molecule: ribosomal RNA, 230 nt
Filed under: uncultured Alicycliphilus sp.
Lineage: Bacteria; Pseudomonadati; Pseudomonadota; Betaproteobacteria; Burkholderiales; Comamonadaceae
Description: partial 16S ribosomal RNA
Rfam family: Bacterial small subunit ribosomal RNA
Source: RNAcentral
AGAUGCUCAUUGGGUGUAAAGCGUGCGCAGGCGGUUUUGUAAGACAGAGGUGAAAUCCCCGGGCUCAACCUGGGAACUGCCUUUGUGACUGCAAGGCUGGAGUGCGGCAGAGGGGGAUGGAAUUCCGCGUGUAGCAGUGAAAUGCGUAGAUAUGCGGAGGAACACCGAUGGCGAAGGCAAUCCCCUGGGCCUGCACUGACGCUCAUGCACGAAAGCGUGGGGAGCAAACA